Molecule: long non-coding RNA, 1124 nt
Organism: Triticum dicoccoides
Lineage: Eukaryota; Viridiplantae; Streptophyta; Magnoliopsida; Poales; Poaceae
Exons: 5
Source: RefSeq, a predicted model, not a curated record
GGCGUCUUCACGGGAGAUUGGAUCUGAGCUCUCGUCCGUGGUUCCUCUGUGCUGCCGACGUCAUGACGGCGUCAACACGGCGAACCACACCCGAGUUAGCUGCACGGCGUCAGAGAAACUUGGAACUCACCCACACGAAUGACGGAACAUGGUCUAACACAGAGUCCUAGAAAGUUUGCAACAAAGCACGUCAAGAGGUUCAAAACAAAGAAACUGAAAGUCCACUUUCAAGUGAGUAGAAAAACAAUAUUUUCCAGACCGCAUACAAAGAGACUCUGAAAUGCAAGUCAUCGCAGCCUUGUUGGUACGGAUACAUGGCCAAACCUUCAACUGGUUCUCAAAGGUUCCGUAUCCUGGUUGAAGAGCAAGCUCGUGCUACAGCAGCCACCCAGCAGCAAAACUCUGAGCUCAGCCAGCAGGUCAACGAAUUACAAGAUCAACUACAAGCUGAACGUGCAAACACACAAGAGAGGAUUAACUUGGAGUGUACUGAGAGAGAACAACUUGAGGAGAGGUUAAAAGAAGAGCAUGCUGAAAGGGAAAGAUUGUUGGAAGAGGAGCGAACAUCAAGACCGGAAUUUGAAAAAAACAUGAUGACAAAGUUUGUAGCAUUGAGCCAACAGAUGGGAACCCAACAGGUGCCUAAGGAUUGACAAAGAAAAUAGUAACCCAAACUUGCAAAAUACACUUUUAUAGAGAUCUAGUCCUAAUAAGACUCCAGUUCAAGGCUAAUUAUUAUUUCUUCAAAUGCGCUCAUACAAGCUGCAACAAGGAAUUCUCGAAUGUUUAAAGCAAUGGAUACAAAGAACUAGCUGGCCUGGACUCUAGAUCACGGACCGUUUAGUUUCUGCAAUUAAUUAGGAUGGCUAAAUUAUAUCUGAGUUUCAUUUGAUGGAUAUUUGCUACGAGAAUUAUGAACUUUAUGAAUCUACAUAUUAUACGUAUGGUUUUGAAUAUUAUAAUUGAAUGCAUGUAUUUUUUUUACGGUUGCAAUAUGCUACAACCCACUUUCGGUUGCCACAUGUUAGCACCACCAAAAAAAGUGUUGCGCCAUAUCUCAGUCGAUAUGCCUACUAUUUUGUUGCACUAGGAUGUUGUAACGGAUCACUUCAUAUUGUCUGGCA